RNAcentral lists this ribosomal RNA (434 nucleotides) under uncultured Lachnospiraceae bacterium. RNAcentral describes it as "partial 16S ribosomal RNA". It matches the Rfam family "Bacterial small subunit ribosomal RNA", at positions 341 to 792 of the family's 1533-position model. Lineage: Bacteria; Bacillati; Bacillota; Clostridia; Lachnospirales; Lachnospiraceae. The record is from RNAcentral.
ACGGAAGGCAGCAGUGGGGGAUAUUGCACAAUGGGGGAAGCCCUGAUGCAGCGACGCCGCGUGAGUGAUGAAGUAUUUCGGUAUGUAAAGCUCUAUCAGCAGGAAAGAUAAUGACGGUACCUGACUAAGAAGCACCGGCUAAAUACGUGCCAGCAGCCGCGGUAAUACGUAUGGUGCAAGCGUUAUCCGGAUUUACUGGGUGUAAAGGGAGCGCAGGCGGCAGGGCAAGUCUGAUGUGAAAACCCGGGGCUUAACUUCGGGACUGCAUUGGAAACUGCUCAGCUUGAGUGUCGGAGAGGUAAGUGGAAUUCCUAGUGUAGCGGUGAAAUGCGUAGAUAUUAGGAGGAACACCAGUGGCGAAGGCGGCUUACUGGACGACAACUGACGCUGAGGCUCGAAAGCGUGGGGAGCAAACAGGAUUAGAUACCCUGGUA